AGUCUGCAUGGAGCCGACCUUGAAAUACCACCCUUUAAUGUUUGAUGUUCUAACGUGGACCCGUAAUCCGGGUUGCGGACAGUGUCUGGUGGGUAGUUUGACUGGGGCGGUCUCCUCCUAAAGAGUAACGGAGGAGCACGAAGGUUGGCUAAUCCUGGUCGGACAUCAGGAGGUUAGUGCAAUGGCAUAAGCCAGCUUGACUGCGAGCGUGACGGCGCGAGCAGGUGCGAAAGCAGGUCAUAGUGAUCCGGUGGUUCUGAAUGGAAGGGCCAUCGCUCAACGGAUAAAAGGUACUCCGGGGAUAACAGGCUGAUACCGCCCAAGAGUUCAUAUCGACGGCGGUGUUUGGCACCUCGAUGUCGGCUCAUCACAUCCUGGGGCUGAAGUAGGUCCCAAGGGUAUGGCUGUUCGCCAUUUAAAGUGGUACGCGAGCUGGGUUUAGAACGUCGUGAGACAGUUCGGUCCCUAUCUGCCGUGGGCGCUGGAGAACUGAGGGGGGCUGCUCCUAGUACGAGAGGACCGGAGUGGACGCAUCACUGGUGUUCGGGUUGUCAUGCCAAUGGCACUGCCCGGUAGCUAAAUGCGGAAGAGAUAAGUGCUGAAAGCAUCUAAGCACGAAACUUGCC
This 626-nucleotide ribosomal RNA is filed under the name Escherichia coli. Its description in RNAcentral is "partial 23S ribosomal RNA". It matches the Rfam family "Bacterial large subunit ribosomal RNA", at positions 2173 to 2798 of the family's 2925-position model. The record is from RNAcentral. Lineage: Bacteria; Pseudomonadati; Pseudomonadota; Gammaproteobacteria; Enterobacterales; Enterobacteriaceae.